AUCACAUGGCAAAAUCAAAUAACAAAACGCAUCAAAAACCAAUGGACAAUAACUGUCAUAUUCCUGACUUGGUACAGGCAUUUUCAAAUUAGAAAAUGGUGGAUUAAACCUGGUUCUAUAGCGCUAACCCUCUCACUUUAAUGACAGUCGCAUCAAUUUCCGAUAUAUUUACAUUGAUGCGUUAAAUAAACAGACACAAUAAAUAAAAUAGUCAAAAUAUGGGUACAUCAGUCAUCAUCGUAUAACAAUUUUAAAAGGAACAAUUUAAC
RNAcentral lists this long non-coding RNA (269 nucleotides) under Mytilus galloprovincialis (Mediterranean mussel). The record is from RNAcentral. Lineage: Eukaryota; Metazoa; Mollusca; Bivalvia; Mytilida; Mytilidae.